This 418-nucleotide ribosomal RNA is filed under the name uncultured prokaryote. Its description in RNAcentral is "bacterial SSU rRNA". It matches the Rfam family "Archaeal small subunit ribosomal RNA", at positions 455 to 873 of the family's 1478-position model. The record is from RNAcentral.
GUGCCAGCCGCCGCGGUAAUACCAGCACCCCGAGUGGUCGGGACGAUUAUUGGGCCUAAAGCAUCCGUAGCCGGUUUUACAAGUCCUCCGUUAAAUCCAACUGCUUAACAGAUGGGCCGCGGAGGAUACUAUAAGACUAGGAGGCAGGAGAGGCAAGCGGUACUCAGUGGGUAGGGGUAAAAUCCGUUGAUCCAUUGAAGACCACCAGUGGCGAAGGCGGCUUGCCAGAAUGCGCUCGACGGUGAGGGAUGAAAGCAGGGGGGGCAAACCGGAUUAGAUACCCGGGUAGUCCCAGCUGUAAACGAUGCAGACUCGGUGAUGGACUAGCUUCAUGCUAGUCCAGUGCCGCAGGGAAGCCGUUAAGUCUGCCGCCUGGGUAGUACGGUCGCAAGACUGAAACUUAAAUGAAUUGGCGGGG